AGUGAACGCUGGCGGUAGGCCUAACACAUGCAAGUCGAACGGCAGCACAGUAAGAGCUUGCUCUUACGGGUGGCGAGUGGCGGACGGGUGAGGAAUACAUCGGAAUCUACUUUUUCGUGGGGGAUAACGUAGGGAAACUUACGCUAAUACCGCAUACGACCUACGGGGGAAAGCAUGGGAUCUUCGGACCUUGCGCGAUUGAAUGAGCCGAUGUCGGAUUAGCUAGUUGGCGGGGUAAAUGCCCACCAAGGCGACGAUCCGUAGCUGGUCUGAGAGGCGGGUCGGCGACACUGGAGGUGGGACACGGACCAGAGUCCUACGGGAGGCAGCAGUGGGGAAUAUUGGACAAUGGGCGCAAGCCUGAUCCAGCCAUACCGCGUGGGUGAAGAAGGCCUUCGGGUUGUAAAGCCCUUUUGUUGGGAAAGAAAAGCAGCAGGUUAAUACCCCGCUGUUCUGACGGUACCCAAAGGAUAAGCACCGGCUAACUUCGUG
RNAcentral lists this ribosomal RNA (492 nucleotides) under uncultured bacterium. Its description in RNAcentral is "partial 16S ribosomal RNA". It matches the Rfam family "Bacterial small subunit ribosomal RNA", at positions 29 to 507 of the family's 1533-position model. The record is from RNAcentral.